UAGUCCACGCCGUAAACGAUGGAUACUAGCUGUCCGAGGCCUUGAGUCUUGGGCGGCCAAGCGAAAGUGAUAAGUAUCCCACCUGGGGAGUACGUUCGCAAGAAUGAAACUCAAAGGAAUUGACGGGGGCCCGCACAAGCGGUGGAGCAUGUGGUUUAAUUCGAUGAUACGCGAGGAACCUUACCAGGGCUUAAAUGCAUAUUGACAGGGCCAGAGAUGGCUUUUCCUUCGGGCAAUUUGCAAGGUGCUGCAUGGUUGUCGUCAGCUCGUGCCGUGAGGUGUCAGGUUAAGUCCCGCAACGAGCGCAACCCUUGUCUUUAGUUGCCAUCAUUAAGUUGGGCACUUUAAAGAGACUGCCGGUGACAAACCGGAGGAAGGUAAGGAUGACGUCAGGUCAGCAUGCCCCUUAUGCUCUGGGCUACACACGUGCUACAAUGGCCGUGACAAAGAGUUGCUACUUUGUGAAAACAAGCUAAUCUCAUAAACGCGGCCUCAGUUCGGAUUG
RNAcentral lists this ribosomal RNA (505 nucleotides) under uncultured bacterium. RNAcentral describes it as "bacterial SSU rRNA". It matches the Rfam family "Bacterial small subunit ribosomal RNA", at positions 791 to 1300 of the family's 1533-position model. The record is from RNAcentral.